AAAAUUUAGUUUAAAUAAAAUAUUAUCUUGUCAAGAUAGAGAUGCUAUAGAUUAGUAAUUUUUAA
RNAcentral lists this transfer RNA (65 nucleotides) under Conchoderma hunteri. RNAcentral describes it as "tRNA-Asp". The record is from RNAcentral. Lineage: Eukaryota; Metazoa; Arthropoda; Thecostraca; Lepadidae.